UACGAAGGGGGCUAGCGUUGUUCGGAAUUACUGGGCGUAAAGCGUGCGCAGGCGGUUAUGUAAGACAGAUGUGAAAUCCCCGGGCUUAACCUGGGAACUGCAUUUGUGACUGCAUAGCUAGAGUACGGUAGAGGGGGAUGGAAUUCCGCGUGUAGCAGUGAAAUGCGUAGAUAUGCGGAGGAACACCGAUGGCGAAGGCAAUCCCCUGGACCUGUACUGACGCUCAUGCACGAAAGCGUGGGGAGCAAACAGG
RNAcentral lists this ribosomal RNA (253 nucleotides) under uncultured bacterium. RNAcentral's name for it is "partial 16S ribosomal RNA". It matches the Rfam family "Bacterial small subunit ribosomal RNA", at positions 524 to 776 of the family's 1533-position model. The record is from RNAcentral.